RNAcentral lists this unclassified non-coding RNA (1056 nucleotides) under Hevea brasiliensis (rubber tree). The record is from RNAcentral. Lineage: Eukaryota; Viridiplantae; Streptophyta; Magnoliopsida; Malpighiales; Euphorbiaceae.
GUGGUGUGGUCUAUGUUGUUUCGGUAAGGUGACAAAAUAUAAUUAUUUCCCUGCAUUUAACUUGACUCUUUUGGAGUUUGAAGAAAUUUCCAACUCAAAUAUAUGAUUGAUGAAUUUCUUUUGUUUCUUAAGAACUUUUUUUGUUUCCUAAGAAAAAGGAAAAUAAUAAUUAUUGCAAUUUUAAUUUUCAGGGAAUUCUAUAUAUUGGCCUUCUCAAACGAGCACGCUAACUAUUAACAUGGAAAGAAAUGAUAUGUUUUAAUUUUGUGAUGGAGUUCAUUAAGGUUCUUGUUCAUGAUUCACUUCCAAGCUUGAAUAUGCAUAUUGUUAUUGUUUUAUGCAAUUAUGCUCCAGGAAAUAUGAGUUCAUAGAUCUCUAUAAGUGGCUCAUUUGCUGUGCUUUUCUUCUGCAAAUACAGAAAUAGUCCUCACCUACUAUCCUAGAAUAGUGGAAGGUAGGCCAACAUGAUGAGAUGAAUGAUAUGAUUUUACUUUGUUUCUUUAAGAUUUUUUUUUUUUUUUAAUGCAAUCCCUUAAAUGAGGACCACAUGUUUUACUGAUUUACAAAAUUAUAAGUAAAAAAUUUGUUCUCUGUGAAGCUCAUGCAUGCCUUACGCAGAGAUUGUAAAUCACAAAGGUGAAUGUUGAAAGGUUCUCAUGAAUAAUCAAUAUAAACAUUAUGGUGAUUAUGGCAAUCAGUAACUGAGGUCAGUGUUAAUCUAUUUCUCCAUUUUACUGAUUAAGGUUACAGCAUUUGGGGUUUUAAUUUAAUGUUACAAGCCAUAUUUCAAAACUGUAGACCUGAUAAUUGUACACUGUGAAUUUGCUUGCCCAAUAGGUAGCACAAACGUAUGCAACUGGUUUUAAUAGACUUUUUUCCUUAAAAAAAAAAAAAAUUAUUUACGGAUAUUUGUUUGACAAAAUGUCAUUUGUUACUGGGAUUCCGUGUAUUAACUAACAUGGAUUAAAAGCACAGCAAUUGAAGCGGCGGUGAGAGGAACUUGAACAAUUGCUCAUGGCGGAAAGAAUUUGACGCCAUUUUUGCUUACUGUUGUUC